UACGUAGGGUGCAAGCGUUGUCCGGAAUUAUCGGGCGUAAAGAGCGUGUAGGCGGCCCGACCAGUCCGCUGUGAAAGUCCAGGGCUCAACCCUGGAAUGCCGGUGGAUACUGUCGGGCUAGAGUCCGGAAUGGGCGAGUGGAAUUCCUGGUGUAGCGGUGAAAUGCGCAGAUAUCAGGAGGAACACCAAUGGCGAAGGCAGCUCGCUGGGACGUGACUGACGCUGAGACGCGAAAGCGUGGGGAGCAAACAGG
RNAcentral lists this ribosomal RNA (253 nucleotides) under uncultured bacterium. Its description in RNAcentral is "partial 16S ribosomal RNA". It matches the Rfam family "Bacterial small subunit ribosomal RNA", at positions 524 to 776 of the family's 1533-position model. The record is from RNAcentral.